GAUGAACGCUAGCGGCAGGCCUAAUACAUGCAAGUCGAACGGGAUCCAGAUCAAAGCUUGCUUUGGUCUGGUGAGAGUGGCGCACGGGUGCGUAACGCGUGAGCAACCUACCCUUGUCAGGGGGAUAGCCCGGCGAAAGUCGGAUUAAUACCGCAUGACAUCAUUGAGAGGCAUCUUUCGAUGAUCAAAGAUUUAUCGGACAAGGAUGGGCUCGCGUGACAUUAGCUAGUUGGUAAGGUAACGGCUUACCAAGGCUGCGAUGUCUAGGGGCUCUGAGAGGAGAAUCCCCCACACUGGUACUGAGACACGGACCAGACUCCUACGGGGGGCAGCAGUAAGGAAUAUUGGUCAAUGGACGGAAGUCUGAACCAGCCAUGCCGCGUGCAGGAAGACGGCCCUAUGGGUUGUAAACUGCUUUUAUACGGGAACAAACGUCGGUACGUGUACCGGUCUGAGUGUACCGUAAGAAUAAGGAUCGGCUAACUCCGUG
RNAcentral lists this ribosomal RNA (490 nucleotides) under uncultured bacterium. Its description in RNAcentral is "partial 16S ribosomal RNA". It matches the Rfam family "Bacterial small subunit ribosomal RNA", at positions 28 to 507 of the family's 1533-position model. The record is from RNAcentral.